CCUGUGCAUCGCUCCACCGCCGUCCGCCGCAAGGUGGAGGGAGGAAAGUCCGGGCAGCGUAGGGCAGCGUGCUUCCUAACGGGAAGGGGGCCACUUGGGAACGGGUGGUCCACAGAAAGUGCCGCAGAAAGGGAAACCGCCCAUCGCAAGGUGGGUAAGGAUGAAAAGGUGCGGUAAGAGCGCACCAGUGUUCCUGGCGACAGGGCAGCUUGGUAAACCUCACGCGCUGAAAGACCAUGUAUACCGUGCGUUCCGUAGUGCCGGAGCGAGGAAAGCCCGUCCUUCCAACGCAUGUUGGAGCGCGGAGGGUAGGUCGAUGGAGUCCCGCUGUGAAGCGGGACCUAGAUAGAUGGUGGAGGCUGCCGCGAGGUGGUACAGAACCCGGCUUACAGAUGCACAGGAACU
Molecule: RNase P RNA, 405 nt
Filed under: Flavobacteriales bacterium
Lineage: Bacteria; Pseudomonadati; Bacteroidota; Flavobacteriia; Flavobacteriales
Description: RNase P RNA component class A
Rfam family: Bacterial RNase P class A
About the family: Ribonuclease P (RNase P) is a ubiquitous endoribonuclease, found in archaea, bacteria and eukarya as well as chloroplasts and mitochondria.
Source: RNAcentral